Molecule: ribosomal RNA, 460 nt
Filed under: uncultured bacterium
Lineage: Bacteria
Description: bacterial SSU rRNA
Rfam family: Bacterial small subunit ribosomal RNA
Source: RNAcentral
UACGGGAGGCAGCAGUGGGGAAUAUUGCACAAUGGGCGCAAGCCUGAUGCAGCCAUGCCGCGUGUAUGAAGAAGGCCUUCGGGUUGUAAAGUACUUUCAGCGGGGAGGAAGGCGAUGUGGUUAAUAACCGCAUCGAUUGACGUUACCCGCAGAAGAAGCACCGGCUAACUCCGUGCCAGCAGCCGCGGUAAUACGGAGGGUGCAAGCGUUAAUCGGAAUUACUGGGCGUAAAGCGCACGCAGGCGGUCUGUCAAGUCGGAUGUGAAAUCCCCGGGCUUAACCUGGGAACUGCAUUCGAAACUGGCAGGCUAGAGUCUUGUAGAGGGGGUAGAAUUCCAGGUGUAGCGGUGAAAUGCGUAGAGAUCUGGAGGAAUACCGGUGGCGAAGGCGGGCCCCUGGGACAAAGCUGACGCUCAGGUGCGAAAGCGUGGGGAGCAAACAGGGAUUAGGAUAACCCGGU